RNAcentral lists this ribosomal RNA (1524 nucleotides) under Triticum aestivum (bread wheat). RNAcentral describes it as "partial small subunit ribosomal RNA". The record is from RNAcentral. Lineage: Eukaryota; Viridiplantae; Streptophyta; Magnoliopsida; Poales; Poaceae.
AUGGCGGCCUCCACGAUGGCAGCACCGACGACCGACCACCUGGAGCCUCCGAUGGCCGCGUCCCGCACGCCCAUCCGCGCGAUCCUGGCCGCCACGGACGCCCUCGCCGGCGAGCGCGUGGUCGUGGGCGGCUGGGUCCGGGCCGGCCGCGUCCAGUGCGGCGGCACCAUGGCCUUCCUCGCCGUCAACGACGGCUCCUGCCACGCCAGCCUGCAGCUCGUCGUCGAAGCGGCCCGGGUGACGCACCCGCCGCUCGACCGCCUCGCGGCCACGGGGACCUCCGUGCUCGUCUCCGGCGUGCUCCGGGUCCCGCCCGGGAAGAGCAAGGAGCGCAUCGAGCUGGGCGUCGAUGCCGUCAUCGACGCCGGCGAGGUCGACGACCCGGCCGCCUACCCGCUGCCAAAGGGUAGGAUUAAGCUCGACCACCUCCGGGACUUCCUCCAUCUACGACCGCGCAACGACACCAUCGCGGCGGUUGCGAGGAUGAGGAGCGAGCUGACGUUCGCGACGCACUCAUUCUUCCGGGAGAUGGGCUUCCUGUGCGUGCACACGCCGAUUAUCACCACCGACGACUGCGAGGGCGCCGGCGAGAUGUUCCAGGUGACCACACUGUUCAGCCAGGCCCAGAAGGCGGACGGGGACCUCCGGCUGAAGCUCUCGGCCGGAGCUCCUCGCCAGGACGAGGAUGAUGGUCGAACUGUCGGUUUCGAGAGUGACUUCUUCAAGCGUCAGGCUUUCCUCACCGUCUCCGGCCAGCUGCAGGCCGAGGCCUACGCCUGCGCACUCAGCGGCGCGUACACCUUCGGCCCCACGUUCCGCGCCGAGAACUCGCACACGUCGCGGCACCUCGCCGAGUUCUGGAUGAUCGAGCCGGAGAUCGCGUUCGCAAACCUGCAGGAUAUCAUGAACUAUGCAGAGAGUUACGUGCAGUACCUCUGCAAAUGGCUGCUGGAGCAUUGCAUGGAGGACAUGGAGUUCAUGGCUAAAACCCAUGAUAAGUCUGCGAUUGAGCGUCUCGAGCUCGUUUCAUCGACGCCUUUCGAACGUGUCUCAUACACAAAGGCUGUCGAAAUGCUGACGGGCUCAGCUGGUAGCAAGAAGUUCCAGACAAAGGUUGAAUGGGGAAUCGAUUUAGCGUCUGAGCAUGAGAGGUACUUGACUGAGGUGAUAUUUAAAAAGCCUGUCAUCGUUUAUAACUACCCGCGAGGGAUAAAAGCAUUUUAUAUGAGGCUCAACGAUGACCAGAAGACCGUGGCUGCCAUGGAUGUUCUAGUUCCCAAGGUUGGUGAAUUGAUUGGUGGAAGUCAGAGGGAGGAGCGCUUCGAUAUCCUUAAACAACGGAUACUGGACGCAGGUUUGCCUAUGGAAUCCUAUGAGUUCUAUCUGGACCUUCGACGCUAUGGAUCCGUGAAGCACAGCGGGUUCGGGCUAGGCCUAGAGAGGAUGCUCCUCUUUGCCACUGGCCUCGACAACAUCAGAGAUGUCAUCCCCUUCCCGAGAUACCCUGGGAAGGCCGACCUAUGA